UCGGAUUGUAGUCUGCAACCCGACUACAUGAAGCCGGAAUCGCUAGUAAUCGCGGAUCAGAAUGCCGCGGUGAAUACGUUCCCGGGUCUUGUACACACCGCCCGUCACACCAUGGGAGUUGGAAAUGCCCGAAGUCAGUGGCCCAACCGGAAGGGGGGAGCUGCCGAAGGCAGGUUCGAUGACUGGGGUGAAGUCGUAACAAGGUAAC
RNAcentral lists this ribosomal RNA (208 nucleotides) under uncultured bacterium. RNAcentral's name for it is "partial 16S ribosomal RNA". It matches the Rfam family "Bacterial small subunit ribosomal RNA", at positions 1293 to 1500 of the family's 1533-position model. The record is from RNAcentral.